ACGCAAACGAAUUAUAUUUGAAUUAUAUGCCAUGAAUAUGAUUUAUGUGUUAUGAGUCAAAUUUCCUAAGACAAAACAUAGAGAUUCAUAAAAUAAGGUUAUGGGUCAAUGUGAAAAUAUUAUUGGGUACUUAUUUGAAGAGAAUGUUUUGUGAGGGUUCAUUAGAUAAUUAGAUCACCCCUUUUCUAGACAAUUCCAGACGUGGAAGGAAGAAAAUAAUAACAGCCCCCACCCUCUCAUUCCUUCCAACAUCCUACGUCUCUCACUCCUCUCAAGAAGAAAAUCAAGAAGGCUUCCCCCUCUUCUACUUCUAGGGUUUUGGUUCUAGGGUUCAAUCAAGUUAUUGGAGCAAGAUUCAAUCUUAAAUCCAUCUCUCACACAAGUGUUUGAAGCUCUCUCAAUCCAUGGUUUAAACCUAAAAGAGGAUUUGGUGAUCAAGCGAAGGAUACAAGGGGUACAAGUUGAUGUUUAGUUGAAGUGCAAAGGAAGGUGAUGAAGUACAAUAGUUUAUAGGUGCAAUAUUUUGUGCAAGUUUGGGCUUCAUGGCAUCGUUUUGCAUAUAGAAUGGAAGUAGAAAGAAGACUUGUAUUUUUGGACGUGUUUGUACUUGUUUCCCUUAUGAUCAAGGGUGUAUAUAUUUUUGCAAAGUGAUGUACAUAAGUUAUGUAUGUUAUGGAUGUUCAUGCUAAUGUAAUUAUGAUAUCAUGAAAAUUAUCAAUGUAUGGAUGCUCUAGACCAAA
Rhododendron vialii is the source of this 740-nucleotide long non-coding RNA. RefSeq lists it as uncharacterized. The transcript is spliced from 3 exons. Lineage: Eukaryota; Viridiplantae; Streptophyta; Magnoliopsida; Ericales; Ericaceae. The record is from RefSeq and is a predicted model, not a curated record.